GACGAACGCUGGCGGCGUGCCUAAUACAUGCAAGUCGAACGGACAGGCGAUGAGCUUGCGCGUCUGACGAUAGCGGCAGGCGGGAGUAAAACGCGUGGAUCCCCUCCCUGACAUUGGGGUAUCACUUGGGAAAUGCGGAUCUAAUACCAUAGAAUCUACUGCAGCACGGGGUUGGAUGGUGAGAGACGGCGGUGGGGGAUGGACUCGCGGGUUAUCAGCUUGUUGGUGUGGUAGGGGCUUACCAAGGCUUUGACGGGUAGCCGGCCUGAGAGGGUGACCGGCCACAUUGGGACUGAGAUACGGACCAGAAUCCUACGGGAGGCAGCAGGGGGGAGUAUUGCACAAUGGGCGGAAGCCUGAUGCAGCAACGCCGCGUGCGGGAUGACGGCCUUCGGGUUGUAAACCGAUUUCGACUGUGACGAAGCGUGAGUGACGGUAAUGGGUAAAGAAGCACCGGCUAACUACGUG
RNAcentral lists this ribosomal RNA (468 nucleotides) under uncultured bacterium. RNAcentral describes it as "partial 16S ribosomal RNA". It matches the Rfam family "Bacterial small subunit ribosomal RNA", at positions 28 to 507 of the family's 1533-position model. The record is from RNAcentral.